RNAcentral lists this ribosomal RNA (164 nucleotides) under Rupertia physodes. RNAcentral's name for it is "5.8S ribosomal RNA". It matches the Rfam family "5.8S ribosomal RNA". From Rfam's summary of the family: 5.8S ribosomal RNA (5.8S rRNA) is a component of the large subunit of the eukaryotic ribosome. It is transcribed by RNA polymerase I as part of the 45S precursor that also contains 18S and 28S rRNA. Functionally, it is thought that 5.8S rRNA may be involved in ribosome translocation. Lineage: Eukaryota; Viridiplantae; Streptophyta; Magnoliopsida; Fabales; Fabaceae. The record is from RNAcentral.
CAUAAUGACUCUCGGCAACGGAUAUCUCGGCUCUUGCAUCGAUGAAGAACGUAGCGAAAUGCGAUACUUGGUGUGAAUUGCAGAAUCCCGUGAACCAUCGAGUCUUUGAACGCAAGUUGCGCCCGAAGCCAUUAGGCCGAGGGCACGCCUGCCUGGGUGUCACA